GAGAGAAAACCGAGCAAACCAAUAGAGAGUGAGAGAUGUGAAGCGGAGAGACCGUCUUUCUCGGUGUGAGUGAGGGAGACGAGAAAGUGGCUAAGUGAGGAUAGUGUGAGCUCCUCCUCUAUUGUAAUCUUUCUGUAAUCUCUCCAUUGUUAUAGUGAUAACUGGUUACUCUCUCGUGGACGUAGGCAUUGAGGCCGAACCACGUUAAAUAUGGUGUCUCCUUAAGUGUGAGUGUGUUUUACUGCUUGAUAUGAUUUCUAUAAGGUCUUGGGCGAGAUCCCCGAUCCCAUCAAUAAAUACCUUGUUGAAGAGAUAUAAUGUGGCUGGUUGUCUACUGCAAAAUAAGGAAAAAAGGGGGAUUGAUUGACUAGUCUUGAUUGGCUAAAGCAUGGGUCAAGAUUUGAUGGAAAAAAGGCUAAAAUGGGGCUAAAAUUGGCUGAUUGUCUUGUGGUCAUUGUUGCAAGGUAUGGGUUGAAGAUUUGAAGGAAAACAAAGCCAAAGUCUUCAAAUUCAGCUGAACAAUCAUGUCCAUCAAGCCCGAAAUAUUCCAAUAGUGCUCGCGAUUUGUAACAUCGCGCCUGUGAGAAAGUCGCGAUGAAAUCAAGCUCUCAGUAUCUUACUUUAGUUCAUCUCUGUGCUCGCGAACAUGACCUCGCGCCUGCAAUAUAUAGGCAUGGCGACCACGAACUGGAAGCAACUAGGCCGCGACCAGGCCACAAGGAAAACAAGCUCUUAGUACUUUUCUCUGCAACCCGCAAAGGGGUCUCGCACCCGUAACCAGCAGUCUCGCACCCGCAACCAGCAGUCUUGCACCCGCGACCAAAAGUCUCGCACCUGCAAUGAUCUUAUGUCUAUAUAUACCAUGCUCGGUCGUGUUGUUAAUUAAUUCCUUGAGUCUGUAAUCUUUUAGUGUCUUUACUGAGAGAGUGCUGUAGUAAGGUUAAUUAUAUAUUUCUCUAAUGUUUACUUGACGAUUCAACUA
This is a non-coding RNA of Camellia sinensis, 982 nucleotides long. Lineage: Eukaryota; Viridiplantae; Streptophyta; Magnoliopsida; Ericales; Theaceae. The record is from RefSeq and is a predicted model, not a curated record.